GAAACGACUGCUAAGACUGGAUAGGAGACAAGAAGGCAUCUUCUUGUUUUUAAAAGACCUAGCAAUAGGUAUGCUUAGGUAGGAGCUUGCGUCACAUUAGUUAGUUGGUGGGGUAAAGGCCUACCAAGACUAUGAUGUGUAGCCGGGCUGAGAGGUUGAACGGCCACAUUGGGACUGAGACACGGCCCAAACUCCUACGGGAGGCAGCAGUAGGGAAUUUUCGGCAAUGGAGGAAACUCUGACCGAGCAACGCCGCGUGAACGAUGAAGUAUUUCGGUACGUAAAGUUCUUUUAUUAGGGAAGAAUAAAUGAUGGAAAAAUCAUUCUGACGGUACCUAAUGAAUAAGCCCCGGCUAACUAUGUGCCAGCAGCCGCGGUAAUACAUAGGGGGCAAGCGUUAUCCGGAAUUAUUGGGCGUAAAGGGUGCGUAGGCGGUUAAAUAAGUUUGUGGUCUAAGUGCAAUGCUCAACAUUGUGAUGCUAUAAAAACUGUUUAGCUAGAGUAAGAUAGAGGCAAGUGGAAUUCCAUGUGUAGUGGUAAAAUGCGUAAAUAUAUGGAGGAACACCAGUAGCGAAGGCGGCUUGCUGGGUCUCUACUGACGCUGAGGCACGAAAGCGUGGGGAGCAAACAGGAUUAGAUACCCUGGUAGUCCACGCCGUAAACGAUGAGUACUAAACGUUGGGUAAAACCCGUGUUGAAGUUAACACAUUAAGUACUCCGCCUGAGUAGUACGUACGCAAGUAGAAACUUAAAGGAAUUGACGGGACUCCGCACAAGCGGUGGAUCAUGUUGUUUAAUUCGAGGGUACCCGAAAAACCUCACCAGGUCUUGACAUGCUUCUGCAAAGCUGUAGAAACACAGUGGAGGUUAUCAGUUGCACAGGUGGUGCAUGGUUGUCGUCAGCUCGUGUCGUGAGAUGUUGGGUUAAGUCCCGCAACGAGCGCAACCCUUAUUGUUAGUUACCAGCACGUAAUGGUGGGGACUUUAGCAAGACUGCCAGUGGUAAAUUGGAGGAAGGUGGGGACGACGUCAAAUCAUCAUGCCCCUUAUGACCUGGGCUACAAACGUGAUACAAUGGCUGUUACAAAGGGUAGCUGAAGCGCAAGUUUUUGGCGAAUCUCAAAAAAACAGUCUCAGUUCGGAUUGAAGUCUGCAACUCGACUUCAUGAAGUUGGAAUCGCUAGUAAUCGCGAAUCAGCAUGUCGCGGUGAAUACGUUCUCGGGGUUUGUACACACCGCCCGUCA
RNAcentral lists this ribosomal RNA (1245 nucleotides) under Aster yellows phytoplasma. RNAcentral's name for it is "bacterial SSU rRNA". It matches the Rfam family "Bacterial small subunit ribosomal RNA", at positions 153 to 1399 of the family's 1533-position model. The record is from RNAcentral. Lineage: Bacteria; Bacillati; Mycoplasmatota; Mollicutes; Acholeplasmatales; Acholeplasmataceae.